RNAcentral lists this ribosomal RNA (645 nucleotides) under uncultured bacterium. RNAcentral describes it as "bacterial SSU rRNA". It matches the Rfam family "Bacterial small subunit ribosomal RNA", at positions 77 to 742 of the family's 1533-position model. The record is from RNAcentral.
AGCUUGCUUUUCUUGAUUAGUGGCGCACGGGUGAGUAAUGCAUAGAUAAUGUGCCCCUUAGUUCGGGAUAGCCACUGGAAACGGUGAUUAAUACCGGAUACUCCUUCUUGUUAUAAGACAAGUCGGGAAAGUUUUUCGCUAAGGGAUCAGUCUAUGUUCCAUCAGCUUGUUGGUGAGGUAAUGGCUCACCAAGGCUAUGACGGAUAUCUGGUUUGAGAGGAUGAUCAGACACACUGGAACUGAGACACGGUCCAGACUCCUACGGGAGGCAGCAGUGAGGAAUAUUGCACAAUGGAGGAAACUCUGAUGCAGCAACGCCGCGUGGAGGAUGACGCAUUUCGGUGUGUAAACUCCUUUUAUUAGGGAAGAUAAUGACGGUACCUAAUGAAUAAGCACCGGCUAACUCCGUGCCAGCAGCCGCGGUAAUACGGAGGGUGCAAGCGUUACUCGGAAUCACUGGGCGUAAAGGGUGCGUAGGCUGGCUUUUAAGUCAGAUGUGAAAUCCAAUGGCUCAACCAUUGAACUGCAUUUGAAACUGAAAGCCUAGAGUUCAGAAGGGGCAGAUGGAAUUAGUGGCGUAGGGGUAAAAUCCGUAGAUAUCACUAGGAAUAUCAAAAGCGAAGGCGAUCUGCUGGGAUGAUACUG